AGUGAACGCUGGCGGUAGGCCUAACACAUGCAAGUCGAACGGCAGCACAGUAAGAGCUUGCUCUUACGGGUGGCGAGUGGCGGACGGGUGAGGAAUACAUCGGAAUCUACUUUUUCGUGGGGGAUAACGUAGGGAAACUUACGCUAAUACCGCAUACGACCUACGGGUGAAAGCAGGGGAUCUUCGGACCUUGCGCGAUUGAAUGAGCCGAUGUCGGAUUAGCUAGUUGGCGGGGUAAAGGCCCACCAAGGCGACGAUCCGUAGCUGGUCUGAGAGGAUGAUCAGCCAAACUGGAACUGAGACACGGUCCAGACUCCUACGGGAGGCAGCAGUGGGGAAUAUUGGACAAUGGGCGCAAGCCUGAUCCAGCCAUACCGCGUGGGUGAAGAAGGCCUUCGGGUUGUAAAGCCCUUUUGUUGGGAAAGAAAAGCAGCAGGUGAAUACCCCGCUGUUCUGACGGUACCCAAAGAAUAAGCACCGGCUAACUUCGUG
Molecule: ribosomal RNA, 492 nt
Filed under: uncultured bacterium
Lineage: Bacteria
Description: partial 16S ribosomal RNA
Rfam family: Bacterial small subunit ribosomal RNA
Source: RNAcentral